RNAcentral lists this ribosomal RNA (253 nucleotides) under uncultured bacterium. RNAcentral's name for it is "partial 16S ribosomal RNA". It matches the Rfam family "Bacterial small subunit ribosomal RNA", at positions 524 to 776 of the family's 1533-position model. The record is from RNAcentral.
UACGAAGGGGGCGAGCGUUGUUCGGAUUUACUGGGCGUAAAGGGGGCGUAGGCGGCCUGCCAAGUCGGGUGUGAAAGCCCCGGGCUCAACCUGGGAGGUGCGCUCGAGACUGGCGGGCUGGAGUUCGGGAGAGGAGCGUGGAAUUCCCAGUGUAGAGGUGAAAUUCGUAGAUAUUGGGAAGAACACCGGUGGCGAAGGCGGCGCUCUGGACCGAGACUGACGCUGAGGCGCGAAGGCGUGGGGAGCAAACAGG